This 75-nucleotide antisense RNA is filed under the name Streptomyces sp. CNZ289. RNAcentral describes it as "ASpks TB sRNA". It matches the Rfam family "ASpks TB sRNA". Lineage: Bacteria; Bacillati; Actinomycetota; Actinomycetes; Kitasatosporales; Streptomycetaceae. The record is from RNAcentral.
CUUCACCGAGCCCAGCCACAGCGGCUGCUCUGCCGUGUGCUCGCGCCCGUACGUGGCCAGCAGGGCCUGCGCCUC